CUUGAAUUUGGAGGAGGGAUCAAUCUACUAUAAAAGAUGAAGUGACGCAAGAUUUCACACAAGGCUUCCUGAAGCUCAGCUGAGCAGGUAGUGCAAGUGUCCUUCAAUACAACAACGAAAAAGAAGAUAUUUUUUAAGUAUUUCAUCUGAUAAUCCAAUGAUCAAAAUGAAAGCACACAUCAGCUCACUUUAAAGUGUGUGACCGCUUUGGGAGGAAAGGAAAUAAGAACUCUGAAGGACAAUUUCAGUAUUAUAGCCUAUGCUGAAGAUGACUUGUGCAAAAUAAGUUUAUGGUCUUAAUAAUUAAUAAGACCAGGGUUUCCACAAUCAUGAAAAAUCUGGAAAUAUUUCAAAAGUGUGGUUUCCAGGCCUGGACAAGUCAUUAAAAGUGAUUUUAAAAAUGCUAUUGACAAGUCAUCGCAAUUUCUGUAGGCAAUAUUUAUACUAGACCCCAGCUCUAAAUUACUUCUUCAGCUAGAACUCACUCUUUUGUGAUGUCGCGGUUUGGCCCGCCGGUCUCUGUGAGGUCUGUGGAGGUGACCUCGGGCUUCAGGUGCAGAGGAUCGCCCAACAUCAACCGCCUGCUCGGCGUGUCUUCCCCCAAACCCCUGAGGCCCUGCAUCUCCCAUCAGCCGGCCUACUUUUAA
This 647-nucleotide long non-coding RNA is filed under the name Sinocyclocheilus anshuiensis. Its description in RNAcentral is "lncRNA (ENSSANG00000003320.1)". Lineage: Eukaryota; Metazoa; Chordata; Actinopteri; Cypriniformes; Cyprinidae. The record is from RNAcentral.